Molecule: long non-coding RNA, 2481 nt
Organism: Symsagittifera roscoffensis
Lineage: Eukaryota; Metazoa; Xenacoelomorpha; Acoela; Convolutidae
Exons: 4
Source: RefSeq, a predicted model, not a curated record
UUGUCAUCAUCACUUUUAACCUUAAGUUAACUCAAUUUGAGAAAAAUGCGCUUUAAGUUUCAAGUUCAAUGUCUUUAUCCGGAUAAUUAAAAUCAGCACUGUAUAACUUUCAACAAAUUUAUCGGAGAGAACCUAAAAACUUCUGAAAUUAUUCUGACCUUGUGAUAGUGAAAUAUUGUUGAAGUUACUAUCGAAUUCUCAAAGUCGCAAUUGAAACGUCAAAAGAGGGAACCAAAAUGGUUGCGCUUUUUCAGAGGUUAACUUGCAGCGCAGGUAUGAAGUGAAUCUCCCAACAUGUUGUUUUACCGAUCUUUUGUACGCAGGGUUCUCUGAAUUACGCGCAGUAUUCCCCUCUCGACCAUUAAAUUGACCACUAAAUAAGCCGAAACAGUUCGUUCUCUGUAGUAAAAUUGCGGAUCAUUGUUGGAGGAAUAGUAUUGCUCAAACUUUCGAAAAAAAAGUGACUGGUGAAUUUUACAAGAUUUCACGUUGCGACUGUUGAGGGGAGCGGUGGCAACGUGGUUACUUCUCCACAUCUCAAUGAAAAAGUCGGAUAUUUGAAGCCCAACAUGUCCUGUGCUCGUUGGUUGAGGGUGAGGCAACAUUUACAAGCGCAGAAAAUUAGACCAAACAAUAUAUGAUGAAACAAACAUGAAUGUGUUUGUGGAAUCCAUUGACAAAAAGUAAGAUUGACUGCGGAAUCCACUGACAAAUUGUGGAAUGCAGUGACAAAAAGAACAAAUUGGUUGCGGAAUCCACUGACAAACAUUGUAAUACAUUGAAAUUUUGCUUCAAUUCACUUCAAGCGUAAACAUGCAUUUGUCUGUGGAAUCCUAAACAAAGCAUAACUUAGCACUUUUCUACAAAAUCAGCAUUGUCACAGGUUCAAAAUUUAAUUUUUAGCAACUACUGUUGAAACAAUUGUUCAUCGAUUCAAUCAAGUUUCCGACUUCAAAGGCUUUUCGAAAUGUUGCGAAAUCCAACGCAAUUUGAGCUGAUUCCAAGGACAAUGCAUGCGGAAUUCAAACCACUACCAGAGUACCCGAGCUUGGCUUUGUACUGCCGUUUGCAAGUCACUUCUAGCGAUAAAUAUCAGUUUUCUCUCUUUGCCGAUUAUUUUAUAAUGGUCUUUGUUUUCAAAAUGUGAAGCAGACGUAAACACGAAAUUGUUUAUUUCUCAAUCAUCUUUGAAAAUUAAACACUUUUCAGCUUGAUAUGAUGUAUUCGAGUUCAAUCAACUGUUAUUCACAAACAAAAGAUAAUCUUGCGAAGAUCAAGAUCAGAUUAUUUAUUUGUAUUCGCUAAAUGGCCUCGAUGGAAAAUAUUCAGUUUUUAAGCUGUAAUUUUAUUAUUUUGUUCACAUUUGAAGCCAUUUUUGGUAAGCUAUCCAAAGUUAUCAUCAAAUAGUUGCCAAGUCUAACGUUUCAGACGAAACUUCAGUUUUCUAUUUCCUUCAUAUUUAUUUCAACAAAAUUUUCAUGAUCUAAAAUGUAAUCUUAUUUUACCUUCGUAUACUAUACUUUUUCGAAACCCUUUAUGCACUCCAUGAGAUAAAGUAUAUUUCUUUUCACUGUUUAAAAAAAAACAUGAGCCUGUUUUGCCUCACCCACGUUUUAUAUUUGUCCUGCGUUUUCCUAAUUCAUUCCGCCGUCAAUUCCGAAGAUCGAAAAUCAAUUUCAGCAUCCCAAAAUAACGGAGAAAGUAUCAACUCCAUCGCCAAGAAAAAGUCACAGUCACUUAUCGUCAAUGGAUUGGAAACAUCCCCAAGAUUAUUCUACGCUAGGUUGGCAUUCAGAGAUUAUGUUCCGUUUUGUGGGGCUACAAUAAUUCACGAGCAGUUUGCACUGACUACUGCGUUCUGUGUAGGAAAUCACAGUGCGGAGAGCAUGGCCUUGGAAAUUAGAGAUUUCUCCCAGACUAAUUCACAGAAGUCGAUCUACUCGAUAGCAAAAACAUUCUUAUCUCCUGUUCUAGGCGACCAAUUCUUAAUGAACUUGGCCCUUCUGAAAACCGGGCGGAAGAUUCGAGGAAUAAGACGACGGAAGCUUCCGAUAUGUGCUGAGGGCAACAGAGACCUCCUUUAUCCCUGUGACCUUUACGGAGCUGCUGGAAUGGGGUCAAUUGUCACAACAAAGGAUGUGCAUUUAGUUCCUAUUAAAUUACAGGAAGCAUUUUUCCACACCACUGUUUUCGAAACUAAAAACUCUACUGAGCUUUGUCGUUUCGAUAUUGUGUGUACAAUUCCUGUUAUGCAACAAGCGAGUAUAUGUUUCAUGGACAAUGGUGGACCCUUUUAUAAAUUCAAGUACGGAACUUUCGAGCCUGAAUGUUUAUAUGGCGUAUCUAGCUACUUUACAAGUAAUGUUGAUACGCCAUCUGACUCAUGUAACAAUGGGAGUUAUUUUGUGAGAGUCGGCCUUUUUACAGACUGGAUAGAUUUUUGGAUUUAUGGUCCUCCAAAUUAUUCAUAAUUAAAAUGUA